Non-coding RNA from Acanthosepion pharaonis, 108 nucleotides. Lineage: Eukaryota; Metazoa; Mollusca; Cephalopoda; Sepiida; Sepiidae. The record is from the annotation of a GenBank genome assembly.
UCAAAUCGCGCUGAACACACCAGUUCUUUUUCGAUUACCGAAGUUAAGCAGCAUCGAGCCUUGUCAGUACUUAGAUGGGGGAUCACUUGGGAACACUGGGUUCUGUAA